UGAGGAAUAUUGGACAAUGGACGAAAGUCUGAUCCAGCCAUGCCGCGUGCAGGAAGACUGCCCUCUGGGUUGUAAACUGCUUUUAUAAGGGAAUAAACCCCCCGAUUCUUCGGGGGCUGAAUGUACCUUACGAAUAAGGACCGGCUAACUCCGUGCCAGCAGCCGCGGUAAUACGGAGGGUCCAAGCGUUAUCCGGAUUUAUUGGGUUUAAAGGGUCCGUAGGUGGGAUCAUAAGUCAGCGGUGAAAUCUUUCGGCUUAACCGGAAAAUUGCCGUUGAUACUGUGGUUCUUGAGUAUGCUCGAUGUAGGCGGAAUAUGUCAUGUAGCGGUGAAAUGCAUAGAUAUGACAUAGAACACCGAUAGCGAAGGCAGCUUACAAGCGCAUAACUGACACUGAGGGACGAAAGCGUGGGGAGCGAACA
RNAcentral lists this ribosomal RNA (422 nucleotides) under uncultured bacterium. RNAcentral's name for it is "bacterial SSU rRNA". It matches the Rfam family "Bacterial small subunit ribosomal RNA", at positions 355 to 774 of the family's 1533-position model. The record is from RNAcentral.